Long non-coding RNA from Oncorhynchus tshawytscha (Chinook salmon), 291 nucleotides. Lineage: Eukaryota; Metazoa; Chordata; Actinopteri; Salmoniformes; Salmonidae. The record is from Ensembl.
UCUCUGUAUCUCUCUCUCUCUCUGUAUCUCUCUCUCUCUCUCUCUCUCUCUCUCUCUCUCUGUAUCUCUCUCUCUCUCUGUAUCUCUCUCUCUCUCUGUAUCUCUCUCUCUCUCUGUAUCUCUCUCUCUCUCUCUGUAUCUCUCUCUCUCUCUCUGUAUCUCUCUCUCUCUCUCUGUAUCUCUCUCUCUCUCUCUGUAUCUCGCUCUCUCUCUCUCUGUAGCUCUCUCUCUCUCUCUGUAGCUCUCUCUCUCUCUCUGUAGCGCUCUCUCUCUCUGUAGCUCUCUCUCUCU